AUGGGUACCAAAUAAUAUGUACUAAGUAUUUUUUAAAAGUAAAUAAGCUGCAAAUAAAUAAUAAUAAAAAGUUUAUAUAUAUAA
This 84-nucleotide transfer RNA is filed under the name Prasiola crispa. RNAcentral's name for it is "tRNA-Leu". The record is from RNAcentral. Lineage: Eukaryota; Viridiplantae; Chlorophyta; Trebouxiophyceae; Prasiolales; Prasiolaceae.